UACGUAGGGUGCAAGCGUUAAUCGGAAUUACUGGGCGUAAAGCGUGCGUAGGUGGUUUGUUAAGUCUGAUGUGAAAGCCCUGGGCUCAACCUGGGAACUGCAUUGGAAACUGGCUUACUAGAGUGCGGUAGAGGGGUGUGGAAUUCCGGGUGUAGCGGUGGAAUGCGUAGAGAUCCGGAGGAAGACCGGUGGCGAAGGCGGCCUGCUGGGCAGUUACUGACACUGAGGCGCGACAGCGUGGGGAGCAAACAGG
Molecule: ribosomal RNA, 253 nt
Filed under: uncultured bacterium
Lineage: Bacteria
Description: partial 16S ribosomal RNA
Rfam family: Bacterial small subunit ribosomal RNA
Source: RNAcentral